CCCCUGCUGGGGGGCGGGCGGACGCACUGGGGCAGGGAGGGUUCUGGGAGGAUGCUUACCCACAAUGCUGUGCGGGUUGGUUCACUGGGAGCCCCUUGGUGACAGCAGAGCGAAUUCUGGGCACAGGCGUUUGCGUGACACUCCCAGCCCCAGAACACUUUUAAAAACUGGAGUUUUAUUGAACUCAGUAUCCAGAACUGAACAGCCCCAGCUUGCCAAGCACCUGCUGCUGAGCCCCCCGAAUUCUGCUCCUGCGCCCCGACCUGUCCCCUUUGACCUCUUCAGUCAACUUCCAAUCCUUAAGGCACGGGGCGCAGGGAAACAUUGCCGGGGCGCUGCCUUGCGAGUGCUACGUUCUCCCCUCGGAAACGGAAAUAACGUGGUACCGUGGUCCGGCGCUCCCUGCAACGCAUUAGCAGCCGCUGGGAGUCCCGCUAGCUCGUAAGCGCCAUCUCAGCUGUGCCAGGCCUUUGUGCGAGACCACAAAGCCGAGAUACCAUGGGCAGAAGGGACCAGCGUGCUCAUCUCCUCUGACCUAGAUACCGCAGCUCAUAGACCUCCCCCAAUAAUUCCUAGAGCAGCUCUCUUGAUUUUUAAAAUCACCGGUGAUGGAGAAUCACCAUGACCCUUGGUACAUUGUUCCAAUGGUUAAUUACUCUCAUGGUUAAACAUUUAUGCCUUAUGUCUGGUCUGAAUUUGUCUAGCUUCAACAUCCAGCCACUGGGUCCCAUCACAGCUUCGUCAGCUAGACUGCAGAGCCCAUUAUCAAAUAUUUGUUUCCCAGGUAGGAACUUACAUAGACUGAUCGAGUCAGCCCUUAACCUGCUCUGUGUCAGACUCCAGGAGCUUAAGUGGUUUGACUUCUCACUCGAAGGCAGGUUUUCCAAACCUUGAAUCCUUCUCAUAGCUCUUCCCUGAACCCUGUCCAACUGCGCUUGAACUGCGGACAUCACAGCUGGUCAUAGGAUUCCAGUGGUCGCACAAGUGCCAAACUCCUAGCUCUGAGCGUCCGCGGCUCUUUCUGGUGAUUUCGCCUCUUGUCUGCUACGGCUUUCAGACUCCACGGUCUCGUUGUGGCACUGGUGCCUUCCAGCAGCCGGUGCGAAGGUGACGGCGUUCAGAUUGGCAGCUCCCAAACCAUCCUGCUCCUUCCCCAGCCAUGGAUGGAAGGGUUCAGAGUUCAGCGUCUGCGGCCGUCAUGUAACGCAGUUGAUCUUCAGUCUGCAAAUCGCUGGGGUCUGAAUUUCUCUCCUCAAUCUGAGCUCAGAUUGGGCUAGUUUGCCUUGUUCCCUGCAUCUUCUGUGGUGGCGCUGAAGUUAGAAAGCAGUAAAAACUCUUUGCCACCCUUUUUUUUUU
Long non-coding RNA from Chelonia mydas (Green sea turtle), 1356 nucleotides. RefSeq lists it as uncharacterized. The transcript has 2 exons. NCBI's taxonomy places the organism in Eukaryota, Metazoa, Chordata, Testudines, Cheloniidae. The record is from RefSeq and is a predicted model, not a curated record.